Molecule: ribosomal RNA, 1450 nt
Filed under: Lacticaseibacillus rhamnosus
Lineage: Bacteria; Bacillati; Bacillota; Bacilli; Lactobacillales; Lactobacillaceae
Description: bacterial SSU rRNA
Rfam family: Bacterial small subunit ribosomal RNA
Source: RNAcentral
AUACAUGCAAGUCGAACGAGUUCUGAUUAUUGAAAGGUGCUUGCAUCUUGAUUUAAUUUUGAACGAGUGGCGGACGGGUGAGUAACACGUGGGUAACCUGCCCUUAAGUGGGGGAUAACAUUUGGAAACAGAUGCUAAUACCGCAUAAAUCCAAAAACCGCAUGGUUCUUGGCUGAAAGAUGGCGUAAGCUAUCGCUUUUGGAUGGACCCGCGGCGUAUUAGCUAGUUGGUGAGGUAACGGCUCACCAAGGCAAUGAUACGUAGCCGAACUGAGAGGUUGAUCGGCCACAUUGGGACUGAGACACGGCCCAAACUCCUACGGGAGGCAGCAGUAGGGAAUCUUCCACAAUGGACGCAAGUCUGAUGGAGCAACGCCGCGUGAGUGAAGAAGGCUUUCGGGUCGUAAAACUCUGUUGUUGGAGAAGAAUGGUCGGCAGAGUAACUGUUGUCGGCGUGACGGUAUCCAACCAGAAAGCCACGGCUAACUACGUGCCAGCAGCCGCGGUAAUACGUAGGUGGCAAGCGUUAUCCGGAUUUAUUGGGCGUAAAGCGAGCGCAGGCGGUUUUUUAAGUCUGAUGUGAAAGCCCUCGGCUUAACCGAGGAAGUGCAUCGGAAACUGGGAAACUUGAGUGCAGAAGAGGACAGUGGAACUCCAUGUGUAGCGGUGAAAUGCGUAGAUAUAUGGAAGAACACCAGUGGCGAAGGCGGCUGUCUGGUCUGUAACUGACGCUGAGGCUCGAAAGCAUGGGUAGCGAACAGGAUUAGAUACCCUGGUAGUCCAUGCCGUAAACGAUGAAUGCUAGGUGUUGGAGGGUUUCCGCCCUUCAGUGCCGCAGCUAACGCAUUAAGCAUUCCGCCUGGGGAGUACGACCGCAAGGUUGAAACUCAAAGGAAUUGACGGGGGCCCGCACAAGCGGUGGAGCAUGUGGUUUAAUUCGAAGCAACGCGAAGAACCUUACCAGGUCUUGACAUCUUUUGAUCACCUGAGAGAUCAGGUUUCCCCUUCGGGGGCAAAAUGACAGGUGGUGCAUGGUUGUCGUCAGCUCGUGUCGUGAGAUGUUGGGUUAAGUCCCGCAACGAGCGCAACCCUUAUGACUAGUUGCCAGCAUUUAGUUGGGCACUCUAGUAAGACUGCCGGUGACAAACCGGAGGAAGGUGGGGAUGACGUCAAAUCAUCAUGCCCCUUAUGACCUGGGCUACACACGUGCUACAAUGGAUGGUACAACGAGUUGCGAGACCGCGAGGUCAAGCUAAUCUCUUAAAGCCAUUCUCAGUUCGGACUGUAGGCUGCAACUCGCCUACACGAAGUCGGAAUCGCUAGUAAUCGCGGAUCAGCACGCCGCGGUGAAUACGUUCCCGGGCCUUGUACACACCGCCCGUCACACCAUGAGAGUUUGUAACACCCGAAGCCGGUGGCGUAACCCUUUUAGGGAGCGAGCCGUCUAAGGU